Molecule: long non-coding RNA, 3838 nt
Organism: Pleuronectes platessa (European plaice)
Lineage: Eukaryota; Metazoa; Chordata; Actinopteri; Pleuronectiformes; Pleuronectidae
Exons: 2
Source: RefSeq, a predicted model, not a curated record
UUCACUAAAUGAUCAUCAGCUGUUUGAAGAAGACUUGAAACUAGAGACUGAGACAGAAACUCCUGAAUGUUCACUGAUGUUAUAAAGUGAGGAGUCGCCCCCUGCUGGUCAGAGAGAGAACACAUUUCAGGGUGUGAUGUGUAUAAAAUUGCUGAGACAGAGACUCUGAGCAUCUGGAGAACGCUGGGCUGACAAUACAUAAGACUUCCUGAAGUUUUCACACACACGCACACACACACACACACACACACACACACACACACACACACACACACACCAGAAAUAGCUCUAAGGGAGGAAAUGCUGCAUCCUGACGAUAACAUAAAGAUUCACAACAAGCAGCCAAACGCUCCUGCAACGUUUACGACAAGUCAACACGACAACAACAUACAUAUUUAAUUUACAUGAAUUACUCAUCAGGGAAGGGAUGUUUUUAAAAACUGUUCACAGAUCAGAGUUUCUUUAUAUCAGAGUUUAGAAAGAUGUUUGUUCACGAUGCACUCGAGUCACAGCGACACAGAAAGCAUGAACUCUAGUGGACGAGGCUCAGAGAUCUGCAGCUGGACGAGGUAACACAAGCUUCACUGGUCGAGUUACAAAGUCAAACACUGUCACUUACGUCAAUCUGCUGGAGAGGGAGAGAGAGAGAGAGAGAGAGAGAGACAGAGAGAGAGAGAGAGAGAGAGAGAGAGAGAGAGAGAGAGAACUCCUCAUCUCGCAAUCAUAAAUCAUCUCUGUGGAUCUUUGCUCCUGAAGAUCAGUGUUGAACAACUUAACACUACAUUUCCUUCAGUAUCAAUAAAGUAGUCAAGCUCAGGUUGUUAAUCCUCGAAAACAACGAGAAGGCUUCACUUUGAAAAUAUGACUCAUCCAAGCUCCGCCCCCAGAACAGUGUUUCUGAUCAGAUCUGAUCCGCUGCAGACUGUAACUGUGCAAGAUGGCAGCGUUUGUCUUGAGGAGGUUUAGGACGAGGAGACACGUCGUCCAUCUUUAUUGACACACAUGGUCGAUGCCUGCUGUGGAUUGGACGGAUGCUGCAGUCACAGUAUUAAGAGCGAUGAUCUAUUCUCAGAUCCACUGACUGUCACGCCCAGGGUUAAACCAAAUAAACUAGGAAGUGGAUGCAGGACACGCAGUAAAGAAAGAGACGCCUCGGAGACAUGAGGUAACCAGACGUCCCCUGACUGCGCCCACAUGUCAAACAACCGACCGACCGCUCUCAGCUUUCUAUAAUCCUCCAUGUGUGAAGGUGUUGUGUGCUUGAGAUCCGUGGACGGAGAGAACAACUCGUCUUGUUAAAUGUCCUCCGGUGGCUCAGUGAGGACGUUUGCAGAAUUUAACAUCAGGGAUCAACUCUCCACGCCGAGUCCACGUAUGACUUCCUGUCAGGAAAUCCCUCGGCCACAGCAGGAAACAAUGUGACGGAAUAAAAACUCCAACAGACAGAAAUAUGAACAAUGGAGCAUCCAAGAAACUGUGUCCCGAAAGAACUGGACAAUCAUAUCACCACAGUGCAUCGUUCAUUCCACCCGGAGACCAAAAUAUCUGUUUGUGCAGGAAACAAAGACAAAACGGGAGAUUUUAUAGUUUAAAUCUGAACUAAUGUUUUCAUCUGAUGAUGGGGACAAGUUUUUACCUCAUGAAAUGUCCUCCAAGUUGUUGAGACGUUCCUCUGAGAACAGACUUCAGACGUGGAGCUGGUGAAUUCAUCCUCUGGAGAAACGUUGUCAUGAAACGAUUCCAGCUUAUGAACGAUCUACAGCAUCCAAAAUGGCAGAGAUCCCUUUGUUCACUGUGGGAAACGUCAUAUUUAAACUUAAGAAUUUUCAAUACUCCACAAUAUGGUAUAUUAUAGAGUAUAUUAAUAUGUACAAUAUAUUGAGCUCGAGAAACUGCCUUUGUUUUCAGUUUGGAUUUUUCUAAAUGUGACAAACGGGAUCGUAACAGCUCCAAAAUUCAACUUUUCAAGUUUUAUUAUAUACUUAAAAGUUCUUCUUACAAAUUAAGACCAACAUCAACACAGAGUUCACAUUCUGCAGUUAAUAACAAACAGUACAAAUAACAGUUUAAAGGAGUGUUUCUUUAACAAUAACCCAAACAGUCAGUUCAUGUGACUGUUCACAACAUAAUGUACUUUAUACAUCGUCUGGCUGAUUCAGUGGAUAAAAAGCUUCCAACUGAAAUAAGCAGUAAACAAAAUCACACACGAGAACGAAAAAAUACCAAAAUUAUGAUCACUGUCAUCGGCGUUGCCCCGGUGACGACGGCUCAAGUCUGGAUCCUGUAUUGCUGAGAAUUAUUUGGAAUUGAGCCAGAAAAACAUCUAAAACCAAGUAAUUAAUACAAAUAGUACAAACCUGGGUUAUAUAGAGUCUAUAUACAAAUCUACACAUUUAGAAAAACAUAUUUAGUGUUAAAAAUGUACAGCACGAGGAGCCAAUCCUCUGUAAUAAAGAAACGAAUAUCAAAAGUACAAUGUGUAGGAUUGAGUGGCCUCUAGUGGUGAAGGUUCAUAUUGCAACCACCUGAACAGCCCUUCCCUUCCAGCUGCUGUAGAAUCUACAGCAGCUGUCAGGUGACUGCGGCCGACACUCGAUGAUAAGCUCAACGACUUCGACUGAUUCAAUGUCGAUCACGUUUUUCAGUGCACAACAAUCGCAACCAGUUGACGGCACCGACAGUCCACUUCCAUGUUAGCAUUUAAUCACGCUUAAGUUUCCCAAGUCUGUGGAAUCGCAGCCAGAAAUCGUUAGUUUUUUCCUCCAGUCUGCGAGUUCUCACAGACGUUGCUUCACAGACUGGGUUCACGUUACGUCUCUAAACGUAAACCAUGAAACGCCUUCUUAAGAACCAGUGUUUCUGGUGUGUCCGUUCUGGGCUACCGUAGAAACAUGGUGGCCUUGGUGGAAAGUUCAGUCUCGGGUGACGACUAACCCGAUGACUCCGAGGCUACGUCCAGACGACUUCAUUAAAACCAUCUCAGUCCACGAGCGUUUUGGUUCCGUGUCAGUUUUCAUCUCCGUCCAUACGAACACGCUGAAAACACACGUGACCGAUCACCUACACUGAGCCUGUGAGCGCCCGAGCAAACAGGAAGCUUUGGGUUGUGUAAACAUGUAAACAGCUGGAUCUUCUAUAUACAGAGUUCAAGCUUCUCAGUUUUAAUUUGUGUUUUAAACGUUGUCAUGUGGAUACAGGUUACAUCAUAAUUAAUAUUUUGUUUCAUGAAUCCUGCACCUUGUGAACAUGAAGAUUCUUUUACACAAACUUUUUAUCUCAUCUGCAGGAAACAACUUAUUCCACUUGUGUAGCGUCAAAAUGCACCGAAGAGCUUCAGGUCACAUGAUUACAGCUCAAGAUGCAGCAGGAAGAAUAUUGUUUGUUCCUUGUCUGCAUCUGUUAAUUGAACCUUAAUUAACAGACUGUUAAUUAAAUCCUAAUUGGCAGCUAUUAUAAGUCACUGAAGAUAUUACAGUUAUUAAAAUGAUUGUAAACCUUAAGGCAGGAAGAUGAAGGCACAUGUUAUUAUUACAAAAUGAUACAGGAAUAUUAAACCUUUAGAAUAAGAAGAUAGAAAAGUGUCCAAUUCUUCAUAAUCUGUUUAAUCCUCCUUCGGUUUCUGUGUGUUACGAUAUUAAAGACUGGAAAUCAACUGGUUUACACGUUAAGUUCGUUCUGAGAUCGACCGUCUGUCGAGGAAAAAGCUGCUUCGCAAAUCUGCUCUUUAAACGUUUCUUUUUCGCGCCCAAAGCAAAAAAACUCAAACUUUUAACACAGUUUUAUCAGAAGUUUGAGAUUUCUGAAGUAUGACGACCACACGAGGAAGAAACGUCAGUAA